GGCCACGUAGCUCAGUUGGCAGAGCAUUGGGCUAGUAUUCCAAAGGUCGUAGGUUUGAUUCCCACCGUGGCCA
Molecule: non-coding RNA, 73 nt
Organism: Paramuricea clavata
Lineage: Eukaryota; Metazoa; Cnidaria; Anthozoa; Malacalcyonacea; Plexauridae
Source: the annotation of a GenBank genome assembly